Long non-coding RNA from Capsella rubella, 1230 nucleotides. RefSeq lists it as uncharacterized. The record is from RefSeq and is a predicted model, not a curated record. The transcript is spliced from 4 exons. NCBI's taxonomy places the organism in Eukaryota, Viridiplantae, Streptophyta, Magnoliopsida, Brassicales, Brassicaceae.
UUUGUUCAGCAAAAAAAAAACUUGUCGAUCCUUUUCAGUUCUCUUCCUCAUUAUAUAUAUAUAUUUUUUUUGGGGCAAACCAGUUCUCUUCCUCCUCUAAGCUAGAAUUUUCAUUCUGUGAUUAUACAUGCAUACUCUACAAUCUAGAAUUAACAAAUAGAGGUUAUAAUUUGUCUGAGUAAUUGCCGAAUUGGAAGCUUAAUUUCGAAGUAGAAAAGAGAGUUCCCAAUACACAGGAUUAUAACAAUUCAUAAAGGAAAGUCUUCUUCUAAGUCCAAAUCGCUUUGGGAGUCGUUACACAGACUAUACAACUGGUGCUAUCAAAGAGAGAGAGAUAAGGACAUAACAAAAAUGGAGAGCAGAGAAGGAACAUAGGCUACCAUGAAGCCCCAUUUAUCUGACAAACAUCUAUAAUUUUUGGACUAAAAUCUUUCUACGGUACCUGAUUUCUUGUCUUCUUUUCUCAAUAUACUCCAAGAUUUGGAUACUCAUUCAUCUCUGCAAUCUCCUUCAUCUUCUCAACAAUAUGAUGUCUCAUUUAUACAGAUGGGAACUCACAAAGGUAGCUACGAAGGAAGCCAUUCUGGUAUGUUACCAAAUCGUUUAUUGAUUUGUGUUCUUCUUCUGCUGUAUUUUGUUGUCUUCAGAGUGCUGUCAACAUAAAAUUUGGUAAAAAAAAAAAAAUCUUCGGUAAGAGUUUUUAGAAGGUGUGUCGCGUCUUCGGUUACUCUUACAAUGAUCAAUAUUGUAUAAGAAUAAUACACAUGAUCUGUAUGUGGACUAACCUUGUCAUCAGAUACAAUCAACUCCAAGGUCUCACCAGACAUGCUCGUGUACUGUCGCCAAGAGCGAAGGACUUUCACCUGGAUUCUCCAAGCGGUUUUGUAAGGACGGACGUCCCUUAGGUAAGCGAAUGAUGCAGCCAUAAUCGGUGUUGUAGUUGCUUAUGAUUUGAAGAGAUGUAGUCGACUGUGGUUAACUUUGGUAGUGUAUCAGACGGAUAUAUAUAGUAGAUGGUGCGUAGGCUAGGGCUUUCGUCUCUAUAGAAGUGCGACUUGAGGAGCAAGUUUAUUAGUUUACCUACGUAUGGAAAGAUUAAUUAUAUAAAACAGAAAGUUACAGUCAAUCACAAUAUAUGCGCAGCAUAUACACCGCAAUAUUAUGCGUCGUAUUCAAAGUUGAUUAUGUGAUUAGUUGAAAGAGUAAAUGAUAUUUCUUAAUAUAGAUAAA